Molecule: long non-coding RNA, 1178 nt
Organism: Bos taurus (domestic cattle)
Lineage: Eukaryota; Metazoa; Chordata; Mammalia; Artiodactyla; Bovidae
Source: Ensembl
UUUUUCAGAUGAGAAAAUUGAAAUUCAAAGAGGAUGAAUGCUAACUCCAAAGAUCCAUGCCUGUGGACUGUAGCCUGCCAGACUCCUCUGUCCAUGGGAUUCUCCAGGCAAGAAAAUUAAAAUGGGAUGCCCUGCCCUCCUCCAGGGAAUCUUCCUGAUCCUGGAAUGAACCCGCAACUCUUAUGUCUCCUGCAUUGGCAGAUGGGCUCUUUACCACUGGUGCCAUCUGGGAAGGCCCCCAUUCUGCUAUAGCUGGAUGCCUGGAGAGACUGAAGGACUGCUCGUUCUAGCUCCCUAGGAUCCCCACUUCAAGGUCAGAGGCUGCAGGAGUCUUUUCUCUAGAGAUACAUCAUGAUUUUUAAGUACCCAGGCUUGGGAACUAUUUUUAGUCACCAAUGUCACCCCACAAUGUUGCGGCUCCAGUGAUCACCACCCAGGCAACACUCAGGCAGACAGCUGAGUAAUGUGGGCAGCCAGCACUUGACCUGCAAAGAGGGACAGGAGAGACAGAAAGAAACAGAUGCUCCAUGUCUUCAUUUCAGCUGGCUGAAUGGUCCUGGUACCCUGAUUCCUGCUGGUUGCUGCCACUAUGGACUUUUGCUGAGGUCUUUCUGCUCUAGCUUCCAUGCUUUCUGAUUUUGAGUAGGGCUACUACUUUGGUCCCCCCACAUUCUAUUUUUAUACUGUGGGUGCUGAGCCCAGUCCCAGAUCCUAGCACGUUGGUCAUAGGAUGGUCAGGAAAGGAGAGGACAAGAUGGGCAGAAGGGAAAGAAGAGAGAGCCUUCCUAACUUCUGUACCCACAGAAACUGGGAAGGGUGCCUGGGAGCCUCAUGUAGCCUUUGCAAAGUCUAUAAUUCGGGAGAGGACGCAGCAGGUGAAGAUUUCCUGGGGACUCUUCUGGAGAAGAAGCAGAGGAAAGAGAACAGGAACCCAGAUCUAGGACAAUAGGGUUUCCAGCCAGGAGGUUGUGCCAGCCUGGGCCCCACAGCCCUUACCCAGUGAGGUGGUGGCCGUACGUUCAGGUGGUGACUCCAUGUGCCCCUUGGGGUGAUGAUGAAGCUCUCUGUGCCCUGCAACCUGUGCCCAAGUGUUGGAAGUUCUUCACCUGAUUCUAGGUUCAAACUCAUUCAACUCUUUAAAAAGGUUCAAUUACAAAGUAACCUGUAGGACUUCCCUG